This 456-nucleotide ribosomal RNA is filed under the name uncultured microorganism. RNAcentral's name for it is "bacterial SSU rRNA". It matches the Rfam family "Archaeal small subunit ribosomal RNA", at positions 330 to 745 of the family's 1478-position model. The record is from RNAcentral.
GCGCACCAGGCGCGAAACCUCCGCAAUGCUCGAAAGAGCGACGGGGGGACUCCAAGUGCCUACGCUCAGCGUAGGCUGUUCCCGAGCCUAAAAAGCUCGGGGAGUAAGGGCUGGGUAAGACGGGUGCCAGCCGCCGCGGUAAUACCCGCAGCCCGAGUGGUGGCCGCUAUUAUUGGGCCUAAAGCGUCCGUAGCCGGCUCGGUAAAUGCCUGGGUAAAUCGUCUGGCCCAACCAGACGAAUUCCGGGUAGACUGCCGGGCUAGGGACCGGAGGAGGGAGAGGGUACUCCAGGGGUAGGGGUGAAAUCAGCAAGGUGAGUUGCUGAUGUAACUUGCCUUGCAAGUCACAAUCCUGUAAUCCCUGGAGGACCACCGGUGGCGAAGGCGCUCUCCUAGGACGGUCCGACGGUGAGGGACAAAAGCCAGGGGAGCAAACCGGAUUAGAUACCCGGGUAGU